RNAcentral lists this ribosomal RNA (498 nucleotides) under uncultured bacterium. Its description in RNAcentral is "partial 16S ribosomal RNA". It matches the Rfam family "Bacterial small subunit ribosomal RNA", at positions 30 to 523 of the family's 1533-position model. The record is from RNAcentral.
AUUGAACGCUGGCGGCAUGCUUUACACAUGCAAGUCGAACGGUAACAGGCCGCAAGGUGCUGACGAGUGGCGAACGGGUGAGUAAUGCAUCGGAACGUGCCCAGUCGUGGGGGAUAACGCAGCGAAAGCUGUGCUAAUACCGCAUACGAUCUAUGGAUGAAAGCGGGGGACCGUAAGGCCUCGCGCGAUUGGAGCGGCCGAUGUCAGAUUAGGUAGUUGGUGGGGUAAAGGCUCACCAAGCCAACGAUCUGUAGCUGGUCUGAGAGGACGACCAGCCACACUGGGACUGAGACACGGCCCAGACUCCUACGGGAGGCAGCAGUGGGGAAUUUUGGACAAUGGGCGCAAGCCUGAUCCAGCAAUGCCGCGUGCAGGAAGAAGGCCUUCGGGUUGUAAACUGCUUUUGUACGGAACGAAACGGCGAGCUCUAAUACAGUUUGCUAAUGACGGUACCGUAAGAAUAAGCACCGGCUAACUACGUGUCAGCCGCCGCAGUAA